GACGAACGCUGGCGGCGUGCCUAAUACAUGCAAGUAGAACGCUGAAGAGAGGAGCUUGCUCUUCUUGGAUGAGUUGCGAACGGGUGAGUAUCGCGUAGGUAACCUGCCUGGUAGCGGGGGAUAACUAUUGGAAACGAUAGCUAAUACCGCAUAAAAUUGAUUAUUGCAUGAUAAUUAAUUGAAAGAUGCAACUGCAUCACUACCAGAUGGACCUGCGUUGUAUUAGCUAGUUGGUGAGGUAACGGCUCACCAAGGCGACGAUACAUAGCCGACCUGAGAGGGUGGUCGGCCACCCUGGGACUGAGACACGGCCCAUACGCCUACGGGAGGCAGCAGUAGGGAAUCUUCGGCAAUGGGGGGAAACCUGACCGAGCAACGCCGCGUGAGUGAAGAAGGUUUUCGGAUCGUAAAGCUCUGUUGUAAGAGAAGAACGGGUGUGAGAGUGGAAAGUUCACACUGUGACGGUAUCUUACCAGAAAGGGACGGCUAACUACGUG
Molecule: ribosomal RNA, 497 nt
Filed under: uncultured bacterium
Lineage: Bacteria
Description: partial 16S ribosomal RNA
Rfam family: Bacterial small subunit ribosomal RNA
Source: RNAcentral